AAGAUACAGUGGUGAAUUGGCAUUAUUCCAUAAUAUUUCUAAGAGGCUUUGGAUAGCUCAGGAAGAUUACCUCCAAGAAGUUAAUUUUCCCGCUAGUCCAAGGAAAAGUGAGAAAUUUUCCGUGAAAGUAGAGAAGAAAAGAAGAUGAACAGUACAUCACCAGCUCAUUCAUCAGUGUUCCCUUAUAAUCUUAUAUCUAUCCAAGAUCGCAGAAAAGAGGCCAAGCUUGUUCUUAAAGCUGAUUUGAUGACUUCACUUAACAAAGAGGUUAAAUCCUUGGAUUAAGAUAACUGGAAGUUUGAAGGACCUCGUUUGCGCAUCCACCUUAUAUCAAGGCCUGUUGGGCUUCUAAACAAGAAGCUGGAAUAACAAAGAAUAGUUAGCUCCACCAAAAUAAGUUGGAUUCUUCAGAUAUAUCACAUCUUUCAUUUGUGGACUCAGGAAUCUGUUCUUUGGCUGCUGGCAGGAUUAAUGGUCUGUUAUUAUUAUUAUUAUUAUUUUUGAAAUAAUGGUCUUUUUAUUUCUUAAUUCUUGUUCCAUUCACUGAAUAUGAAAGACUUGUUCAGUGACGAGUCUUGUGAACCUAUUCUCAUCACCAAAAGAAUAUUCGUUUAUCUUCUUUUCUAUCCUAGAUUAGUCUUCCUUGAUGCGGUUUAGUCUGUCUUUUCCUGUCUCUUAGUCAACCAAUGCUCCAACCCAAUGGAAAGUUACAUGUAAAACAGAUAGAUUUAGAUUUAUAUUGAUUGUUUUCAACAGAUAGAUCGAAAACUAUGCCAAGAACUGCUAUGUUUUCAAGGUCAGAGAGGAGGUUGAUGCCAAGAAAGUUGGACUAAGCUGACAAGGAAGCCGGCGAUGGGUGGUUUCAAUGCUUGAAGUCAGAAGAAGCUGGUAAUGAUUUUAAGAAAAAAAAAGUGUAGUUGUAACCUUGCCACUUGUUGAUGCCUUCUCUAUAGCCAAUUCUUAUAUGCUAAAAUCUGUUCUAUGUUA
Molecule: long non-coding RNA, 987 nt
Organism: Hevea brasiliensis (rubber tree)
Lineage: Eukaryota; Viridiplantae; Streptophyta; Magnoliopsida; Malpighiales; Euphorbiaceae
Exons: 3
Source: RefSeq, a predicted model, not a curated record